RNAcentral lists this ribosomal RNA (468 nucleotides) under uncultured bacterium. RNAcentral's name for it is "partial 16S ribosomal RNA". It matches the Rfam family "Bacterial small subunit ribosomal RNA", at positions 28 to 507 of the family's 1533-position model. The record is from RNAcentral.
GACGAACGCUGGCGGCGUGCUUAACACAUGCAAGUCGAACGGAAAGGCCCUGCUUUUGUGGGGUGCUCGAGUGGCGAACGGGUGAGUAACACGUGAGUAACCUGCCCUUGACUUUGGGAUAACUUAAGGAAACUGGGGCUACUACCGGAUAGGAGCUCCUGCUGCAUGGUGGGGGUUGGAAAGUUUCGGCGGUUGGGGAUGGACUCGCGGCUUAUCAGCUUGUUGGUGGGGUAGUGGCUUACCAAGGCUUUGACGGGUAGCCGGCCUGAGAGGGUGACCGGCCACAUUGGUACUGAGGUACGGCCCAGACUCCUACGUGAGGCAGCAGUGGGGAAUAUUGCACAAUGGGCGGAAGCCUGAUGCAGCAACGCCGCGUGCGGGAUGACGGCCUUCGGGUUGUAAACCGCUUUCGCCUGUGACGAAGCGUGAGUGACGGUAAUGGGUAAAGAAGCACCGGCUAACUACGUG